RNAcentral lists this long non-coding RNA (258 nucleotides) under Eucalyptus grandis. RNAcentral describes it as "long non-coding RNA (EGRA_LNC007836)". The record is from RNAcentral. Lineage: Eukaryota; Viridiplantae; Streptophyta; Magnoliopsida; Myrtales; Myrtaceae.
UUGCUAUGAAUUUUCUUGAGUUUAAAUAUUCAUUUACAACGAUUUCUCUUGAUGGACUUAUCACGAAUCCAUCACUGACUCGUGAUUUCACCUUCAAAUCAAAUGAAGCAGGCAAAAAACAAGUAACAACAGAUCAGCUCUUACGUUAAACCCACCAUAACAAUAAAAAAAGGAAGAAGUUCCCCUCCCUCAAAAGUCGUGAUCAAGCCAUCCAACAAAACCAGACUACCAUAAAAAUUAGUGCGAAUUGCAUUCCGA